Molecule: non-coding RNA, 225 nt
Organism: Pelodiscus sinensis (Chinese soft-shelled turtle)
Lineage: Eukaryota; Metazoa; Chordata; Testudines; Trionychidae
Source: RefSeq, a predicted model, not a curated record
GGUUCUUCCAGCUCCGAGAUGGAAAAGAAGCUAGACCUGCCUGAGCUGUGGCCAGAGAGGUUCCCAGACUCCACACGUUGGGCUGCUGCUACCUGUUUCUGAAGUGCCUCAUUUCUCUCUGGAGGGGCGCUCUGCAGCAAAAGAUUUCCUUGCAGCAUCUGCCAACCGACCCACAUUCAGAUAUGAAGAGAUACAAACGUUUAAAUACUUACUGAAAAGAGGAGA